This 253-nucleotide ribosomal RNA is filed under the name uncultured bacterium. RNAcentral's name for it is "partial 16S ribosomal RNA". It matches the Rfam family "Bacterial small subunit ribosomal RNA", at positions 524 to 776 of the family's 1533-position model. The record is from RNAcentral.
UACGUAGGGGGCAAGCGUUGUCCGGAAUCAUUGGGCGUAAAGAGCGUGUAGGCGGCCAGAUAAGUCCGCUGUGAAAUCUCGAGGCUCAACUUCGAGCUGUCGGUGGAAACUGUCUGGCUAGAGUCCGGAAGAGGAGAAUGGAAUUCCUGGUGUAGCGGUGAAAUGCGCAGAUAUCAGGAAGAACACCCGUGGCGAAGGCGGUUCUCUGGGACGGUACUGACGCGGAGACGCGAAAGCGUGGGGAGCGAACAGG